GCCUCGAUGGCUCAGUUGGCAAGAGCGGCUGACUUGUAAUCAGCAGGUCGAGGGUUCAAAUCCCUCUCGAGGCU
This 74-nucleotide transfer RNA is filed under the name Candidatus Methanolliviera sp. GoM_asphalt. RNAcentral describes it as "tRNA-Thr". It matches the Rfam family "tRNA". Rfam says of the family: Transfer RNA (tRNA) molecules are approximately 80 nucleotides in length. Their secondary structure includes four short double-helical elements and three loops (D, anti-codon, and T loops). Lineage: Archaea; Methanobacteriati; Methanobacteriota; Candidatus Methanoliparia; Candidatus Methanoliparales; Candidatus Methanollivieraceae. The record is from RNAcentral.